RNAcentral lists this ribosomal RNA (497 nucleotides) under uncultured bacterium. Its description in RNAcentral is "partial 16S ribosomal RNA". It matches the Rfam family "Bacterial small subunit ribosomal RNA", at positions 28 to 507 of the family's 1533-position model. The record is from RNAcentral.
GACGAACGCUGGCGGCGUGCCUAAUACAUGCAAGUCGAGCGAUGAAGCUUGGUGCUUGCACCAAUUUGGAGAGCAGCGAACGGGUGAGUAACGCGUGGGUAAUCUGCCUUUGAGCGGGGGACAACAUUGGGAAACGAAUGCUAAUACCGCAUAACAACUUUAAACAUAAGUUUUAAGAUUGAAAGAUGCAUUUGCAUCACUCUAAGAUGAUCCCGCGUUGUCUUAGCUAGUUGGUGAGGUAAAGGCUCACCCAAGCGAUGAUACAUAGCCGACCUGAGAGGGUGGUCCGGCAAAACUGGAAUGGGAAACGGCCCCAACUUCUACGGGAGGCAGCAGUAGGGAAUCCUCGGGAAAGGAGGAAAGUCUGAACGAGCAAAGCCGAGGGAGUGAAGAAGGUUUUCGGAUCGUAAAAAUCUGUUUGUAGGGAAGAAAGUUAGUGGGAAGUGAAAGCGCAUAAAGUGACGGUAACUACUCAGAAAGGGACGGCUAACUACGUG